RNAcentral lists this ribosomal RNA (253 nucleotides) under uncultured bacterium. RNAcentral describes it as "partial 16S ribosomal RNA". It matches the Rfam family "Bacterial small subunit ribosomal RNA", at positions 524 to 776 of the family's 1533-position model. The record is from RNAcentral.
UACAGAGGGGGCAAGCGUUGUUCGGAAUUACUGGGCGUAAAGCGCGCGUAGGCGGACAUCUAAGUCAGGGGUGAAAUCCCCGGGCUUAACUCGGGAACUGCGUCCGAUACUGGAAGGCUGGAGUUCGGGAGAGGAAUGUGGAAUUCCAGGUGUAGCGGUGAAAUGCGUAGAUAUCUGGAGGAACACCGGUGGCGAAGGCGGCAUUCUGGACCGAAACUGACGCUGAGGCGCGAAAGCCAGGGGAGCAAACGGG